GGGUUGUGAGGUUAAGCGACUAAGCGUACACGGUGGAUGCCCUGGCAGUCAGAGGCGAUGAAGGACGUGCUAAUCUGCGAAAAGCGUCGGUAAGGUGAUAUGAACCGUUACAGCCGGCGAUGUCCGAAUGGGGAAACCCAGUGUGAUUCGUCACACUAUCGUUAACUGAAUACAUAGGUUAACGAGGCGAACCGGGGGAACUGAAACAUCUAAGUACCCCGAGGAAAAGAAAUCAACCGAGAUUCCCCCAGUAGCGGCGAGCGAACGGGGAGCAGCCCAGAGUCUGAAUCAGCUUGUGUGUUAGUGGAACGGUCUGGAAAGUCCGACGGUACAGGGUGAUAGUCCCGUACACCAAAAUGCACAGGCUGUGAACUCGAAGAGUAGGGCGGGACACGUGGUAUCCUGUCUGAAUAUGGGGGGACCAUCCUCCAAGGCUAAAUACUCCUGACUGACCGAUAGUGAACCAGUACCGUGAGGGAAAGGCGAAAAGAACCCCGGCGAGGGGAGUGAAAAAGAACCUGAAACCGUGUACGUACAAGCAGUGGGAGCACCUUCGGGUGUGACUGCGUACCUUUUGUAUAAUGGGUCAGCGACUUAUAUUCUGUAGCAAGGUUAACCGUAUAGGGGAGCCGCAGGGAAACCGAGUCUUAACUGGGCGUUAAGUUGCAGGGUAUAGACCCGAAACCCGGUGAUCUAGCCAUGGGCAGGUUGAAGGUUGGGUAACACUAACUGGAGGACCGAACCGACUAAUGUUGAAAAAUUAGCGGAUGACUUGUGGCUGGGGGUGAAAGGCCAAUCAAACCGGGAGAUAGCUGGUUCUCCCCGAAAGCUAUUUAGGUAGCGCCUCGUGAACUCAUCUUCGGGGGUAGAGCACUGUUUCGGCUAGGGGGUCAUCCCGACUUACCAACCCGAUGCAAACUACGAAUACCGAAGAAUGUUAUCACGGGAGACACACGGCGGGUGCUAACGUCCGUCGUGAAGAGGGAAACAACCCAGACCGCCAGCUAAGGUCCCAAAGUCACAGUUAAGUGGGAAACGAUGUGGGAAGGCACAGACAGCCAGGAUGUUGGCUUAGAAGCAGCCAUCAUUUAAAGAAAGCGUAAUAGCUCACUGGUCGAGUCGGCCUGCGCGGAAGAUGUAACGGGGCUAAACUGUGCACCGAAGCUGCGGCAGCGACACUUAGGUGUUGUUGGGUAGGGGAGCGUUCUGUAAGCCUGCGAAGGUGGCCUGUGAGGGUUGCUGGAGGUAUCAGAAGUGCGAAUGCUGACAUAAGUAACGAUAAUGCGGGUGAAAAGCCCGCACGCCGGAAGACCAAGGGUUCCUGUCCAACGUUAAUCGGGGCAGGGUGAGUCGACCCCUAAGGCGAGGCCGAAAGGCGUAGUCGAUGGGAAACAGGUUAAUAUUCCUGUACUUGGUGUUACUGCGAAGGGGGGACGGAGAAGGCUAUGUUAGCCGGGCGACGGUUGUCCCGGUUUAAGCAUGUAGGCGGAGGUUCCAGGUAAAUCCGGUACCUUUUUAACGCUGAGGUGUGAUGACGAGGCACUACGGUGCUGAAGUAACAAAUGCCCUGCUUCCAGGAAAAGCCUCUAAGCAUCAGGUAACAUUGAAUCGUACCCCAAACCGACACAGGUGGUCAGGUAGAGAAUACCAAGGCGCUUGAGAGAACUCGGGUGAAGGAACUAGGCAAAAUGGUGCCGUAACUUCGGGAGAAGGCACGCUGAUAUGUAGGUGAAGCCCCUGCGGGUGGAGCUGAAAUCAGUCGAAGAUACCAGCUGGCUGCAACUGUUUAUUAAAAACACAGCACUGUGCAAACACGAAAGUGGACGUAUACGGUGUGACGCCUGCCCGGUGCCGGAAGGUUAAUUGAUGGGGUUAUCCGUAAGGAGAAGCUCUUGAUCGAAGCCCCGGUAAACGGCGGCCGUAACUAUAACGGUCCUAAGGUAGCGAAAUUCCUUGUCGGGUAAGUUCCGACCUGCACGAAUGGCGUAAUGAUGGCCAGGCUGUCUCCACCCGAGACUCAGUGAAAUUGAACUCGCUGUGAAGAUGCAGUGUACCCGCGGCAAGACGGAAAGACCCCGUGAACCUUUACUAUAGCUUGACACUGAACAUUGAGCCUUGAUGUGUAGGAUAGGUGGGAGGCUUUGAAGCGUGGACGCCAGUCUGCGUGGAGCCAACCUUGAAAUACCACCCUUUAAUGUUUGAUGUUCUAACGUUGGCCCCUAAUCGGGGUUGCGGACAGUGUCUGGUGGGUAGUUUGACUGGGGCGGUCUCCUCCCAAAGAGUAACGGAGGAGCACGAAGGUUAGCUAAUCCUGGUCGGACAUCAGGAGGUUAGUGCAAUGGCAUAAGCUAGCUUGACUGCGAGCGUGACGGCGCGAGCAGGUGCGAAAGCAGGUCAUAGUGAUCCGGUGGUUCUGAAUGGAAGGGCCAUCGCUCAACGGAUAAAAGGUACUCCGGGGAUAACAGGCUGAUACCGCCCAAGAGUUCAUAUCGACGGCGGUGUUUGGCACCUCGAUGUCGGCUCAUCACAUCCUGGGGCUGAAGUAGGUCCCAAGGGUAUGGCUGUUCGCCAUUUAAAGUGGUACGCGAGCUGGGUUUAGAACGUCGUGAGACAGUUCGGUCCCUAUCUGCCGUGGGCGCUGGAGAAUUGAGGGGGGCUGCUCCUAGUACGAGAGGACCGGAGUGGACGCAUCACUGGUGUUCGGGUUGUCAUGCCAAUGGCAUUGCCCGGUAGCUAAAUGCGGAAGAGAUAAGUGCUGAAAGCAUCUAAGCACGAAACUUGCCCCGAGAUGAGUUCUCCCUGAGACUUUAAGUCUCCUGAAGGAACGUUAAAGACGAUGACGUUGAUAGGUCGGGUGUGUAAGCGUAGCGAUACGUUGAGCUAACCGAUACUAAUGAACCGUGAGGCUUAACCUUACAACGCCGAAGCUGUU
Molecule: ribosomal RNA, 2932 nt
Filed under: Klebsiella aerogenes
Lineage: Bacteria; Pseudomonadati; Pseudomonadota; Gammaproteobacteria; Enterobacterales; Enterobacteriaceae
Description: bacterial LSU rRNA
Rfam family: Bacterial large subunit ribosomal RNA
Source: RNAcentral